RNAcentral lists this ribosomal RNA (713 nucleotides) under Hirschmanniella santarosae. RNAcentral's name for it is "eukaryotic LSU rRNA". It matches the Rfam family "Eukaryotic large subunit ribosomal RNA", at positions 354 to 906 of the family's 3401-position model. The record is from RNAcentral. Lineage: Eukaryota; Metazoa; Nematoda; Chromadorea; Rhabditida; Pratylenchidae.
UGAGGGAAAGUUGCAAAGCACUUUGAAGAGAGAGUUAAAGAGGACGUGAAACCGAUGAGGUGGAAACGGAUAGAGCCAGCGUAUCUGACCUGUAUUCAUCCGCAUCCUUUGUCGCGCUAGGGUUGUCCGCUCUCCAGAUUGGGACGGCGUCUGGGCUGCAUGACAUUGGUUGUGGUGCAUUUGCAGGUGGUGUGCGCCGAGACUCCCGUGUUGGCUGCAUGAUCUUGGUGUUGAGGCCAGCUUGCUGGUACCCACCCCAGGGGAGUGUUGUUCAGCAUGAGUGUACAUUUUGGGCAUGGCUUACGAGCUAGGGUUGGGCCAAGCUGGAAGUCAGUGGCGGUCGCAUGCGACACGUGCUGUGCAACCAGUUCGGUCCUGCUCUCGGCUCUCGUGCCCGCUCUCGGUGUAAAAGCUGGUCAUCUAUCCGACCCGUCUUGAAACACGGACCAAGGAGUUUAUCGUGUGCGCAAGUCAUUGGGCGUUCAAAACCCAAAGGCGCAAUGAAAGUGAAUGUAUCCGCAAGGAGCUGACGUGCGAUCCUGGGCAUCACGGUGCCCGGGCGCAGCAUGGCCCCAUCCCGACUGCGUGCAGUGGGGUGGCGGUAGAGCGUACGCGAUGAGACCCGAAAGAUGGUGAACUAUUCCUGAGCAGGAUGAAGCCAGAGGAAACUCUGGUGGAAGUCCGAAGCGAUUCUGACGUGCAAAUCGAUCGUC